Molecule: ribosomal RNA, 537 nt
Filed under: uncultured archaeon
Lineage: Archaea
Description: bacterial SSU rRNA
Rfam family: Archaeal small subunit ribosomal RNA
Source: RNAcentral
ACGGGGUGCAGCAGGCGCGAAACCUUCGCAAAAUGUGUUAGCGCACGACGAGGGGAUCCGAAGUGUUACAGUUUUACUGUAACUUUUGCCGAGUUCAAACAGCUCGACGAAUAAGGGGUGGGUAAGACGGGUGCCAGCCGCCGCGGUAAUACCUGCGCCCCAAGUGGUUAUCCAGUUUUAUUGGGCCUAAAACGUCCGUAGCCGGCUUGAUAAGUCCUCGGUGAAAUUCACUAGCAGACUAGUGAGCCUGCCGGGGAUACUGUCAGGCUUGGGACUGGGAGAGGGCAGAGGUACUCCUAGGGGAGGGGUAAAAUCCUAUAAUCCUAGGGGGACCACCUGUGGCGAAGGCGUCUGCCUAGAACAGAUCCGACGGUGAGGAACGAAAGCUGGGGGAGCGAUCGGGGAUUAGAUACCCCGGUAGUCCCAGCUGUAAACGAUGCCCGCUUGGUGUUACAAACCUUUAGUGGGUUUGUAGUGCCGGAAUGUAGAUGUUAAGCGGGCUGCCUGGGGAGUACGACCGCAAGGUUGAAACUUAAG